UAUGAUAGGAAUUGUAAUAGUCUUAAAGAGAUUUGAGUUUACUGUAGACUCAAGAGCACUAAAAAUAACAAGACUUAAUCAUCAUGUCAUUUUUAUAAAUCAGUAAAUGUUACUUAUCAUUACCAGCGGAUGGCGGCAGAACACAACGCAGUACUGCGCGACAGAUUACGAUAUUUUUCACAUCUACUCUUCAGAUUCACAGCUGAUAUCUGCCAAACUCCGAUUUUAAAGAUGUAAAGAAGACCUCACUGUACCCAGAGAUCUGCUCUUAUAAAGACACUUGCCAUCAGAACUUUGUCUGGAUGCCACUUGCUAGUCACCACAAUGACGCAAUGGAGUCUAGAACUCUUCGCACAGUGCCAAGACUUCAAGAAGAAACAGACAGAUGUACAAAACCCUGGACUGUUAGCUACAGACACCAUCAGCCUGCUGCAGGAGAAAGUCAUCCAUCCAUCCAUCCAUUUUCUACCGCUUAUCCGAACUACCUCGGGUCACGGGGAGCCUGCGCCUAUCUCAGGAGUCAUCGGGCAUCAAGGCAGGAUACACCCUGGAUGGAGUGCCAACCCAUCGCAGGGCACACACACUCACUCAUUCACUCACGCACUUUUUUUGAAGUCAUAUGAGUUCAAAUACAAAUUCUUUAUUGUCAUAUGCACAGUUCUCGGUAUAAUGACAUUCUUAUUUAGCUUUCCCCUGCGCUUAAUUCUUAGUAUUUAAAGGAACAGCUCAGCCAAAAAUAAAAAGUCAGCCAUUACUCCCCAUUAUGUGGUUAAAAAUAUGUAAUGUAGAUGAAUCUCUCUUCAGUGGAACACAAAAGAAGAUAUUUUGAGGAAUGUCUGAGUGGUUUUCUGUACACACAAUGGAAUUCAAUGGGGGUUCAGUGUUGUUUGAUGAUCAACAUUCUUCAAAAUAUCUUUCGUGUUCUGAGGAAGAAAGAAACCGGUUUGGACAUGACAUAAUGGUGAAUAAUGAUAAAAGCAUUUUACACUUUAAGUAUCACAUCUUUGAAUAUUUAGGGCAGUUUUGGUGUAGAAAAUCUGAUUAAACAUUAACUUAAUUAAGACACAUUCACCGCAUGGUUAAAAAUUGUCAAUUUUAAUGACAAUUAUUUUGAUACAAGAAAAUACUGUACAAAAAUCACCCAUAUGUAGCUAUAUUUUACAUUACAAUAUUAUGGAUUGCAACAAUUCACACAUCAAAUUGUUUUUUUAAAAACCCAUACUGAAAAAGAAGUUUCCCCUUAGCUUCUGCUAUGUGGUGUAAUAGAGGACGUCCUGUAAGGGGGACUUUUAUCUGGCCCACUUCCUGUGUGUAAAGGUUGUUGCAGGUGAUGGUUAAUCUGAGGGAUGCGUGGUGAGUUUUUCUUUAUUCAUUUUGCUAAAUCGCAUUUGAUUCAGUGGUGUUGCUCUGAAUAUGUUUACCAAACUUUACGAUAAAAGGGGUCUAAUUUAGAAUUCCUAAAUUUCCUGUGGCAGCUGUGUGGUCAGUUUUUGAAAAUUAAAAUGUCUUCAAGCUUCCAUUUUACUGGUUAUAGCACAACAUUACAUCAAUAUAUUUUAUUAAACAUUUUUUUUAUAAAGGUCAAUACAACUUCAAAUCAAUACAAAAUCAAGUUUUCUUAAGGUUUCACGCCAUAACAUUAUAAAAAAUAGGUUUCAAUAGCAAUAAAAAUGAUUUUAUUCAUCUUUGAUUUCAUAAUCUGGUCUUGAAACUAUAAACCACAUAGACGUAGCCCUGGUUCUCAUAAUUGAAACACUUGGUUUACAUUUGAGUUUUGGCUCACAUUCAACACCACUGUUUAUUUUCAAUGUGAUAAUUACUUCAUCGACAGGUUGGUAUUGUAUCUUCGCCAUUGCAUAAAGUUCACAAGGAAUCCAACAGCCGCAUAGCCACCGCACACAUUGACUCAGUAUGUGAAAUACAGUAAACGCUGCAAUCGUUUGAGCAUCUUUCCCUAUUUCUGUUAUAACGUUACGACUGGAUCUUGGGCUGGGAAGCAGUUUAACAGAAGGUCACGUCCAAAGUGCGCACUGUAGUUGAAUUAUAACAAGGUCAAACGCUCCAGUGUGAUCACGAGCUGUUGGUGCUCUAAUGUUCAUUUAGUUGACUGUUUAUACUGUUUAAACGCACCCAGUUCCAUUUUAAACAAAAGGGCAUAAAUUCCCUAAUCUGUGUUUUAAUUAAGAAACAAACAAAUGUCAUGUCAAUAUUUUGGAGAAACUUCCAGAGAAUGUAUAUCUUAAACAAUAGUCUACUUUUUAAAGUAUGAGUGUAUUUUUUACCCCAUUGAAAAAUGUUUUUUCAUAUUUUAUGCUUACAUCUUACUAAAUGUAGUUCUAUAAAACACAGUUUUGGACUGAAUUUAACCUCUGGUUCUGCAGAAUGCUGUAGGUCUGUCAUAACCGGGGCCAUCAGGGUCAACAGUUCAGCCCUAGAGGGGCCACCAUCUGCUCUCAUUCAGUUAGACCGUUUAUCCCACUGUGCUCCUGAUGUUUAGGAAUAUUUCACACCCAAACAUUUUAUAACUGCUCGCCAGCGAUUUAUUGAAAUAAAAAAGAUUAAUUAUUUAAAAUAAACUUUCUGGAGUUUUGUCGAAGGGUAAUUCCGGUCCCUCUUAUCACCCGUUUGGGCUUUAUUUUGCACAAUAAUACCUCUAACUUCUGUCUCAAAAUGUGUGUGCUGAGCGUAGUCGUGUUAUCCAGGUUGGGGGUUAUCGAGUGUGUUGCGUUCAGUCUCUGGGGUUACGGAGAAGUAGCAUCCCUGGUUCCCCAGACUCCUGGAGCAAUGGAGGGAUGUUGUUUUUCUUAUUUUCCAGCGGUUUGGACCCUAUUGGGACAUCUAAAUCUGUUGGACGCUCCUCAAAGUGCCAGUGCAUUGAUUUCAGCCAAGGCGACUUUCCAGCUCGCCGGCUACGGACAACACACUCCCUGUACGCACACACACACAUGAAUGUCUUCGCACAUUUCACUGGAACUUGUUUGUGGUCAUGUCAGAAGCUUUAGUGCUGCAGUGUGUCUCAUGGGACAGCCACAGGGGGGCGCUGGUACUGAACUACGCCCUUCGACCCACCGUUCUGAUCCAGAAUGAUGAGAUAGUUUGGACUUUUCAGAAUCUAUGUGGCUGGGUCUACUGUAUAGCAGUGGGUCUCAGCUUCUGGGUCGUGCCCCAAAAAUGGGGUCGUGGUCAGCAGGGGAAACAAAAGAAUAGAAUAAAACUAAGCGUGUAAUCUUGCAGCGCAAAACUAUAGUCAUAAAUUGUAUCAUUUUGUUGUUGCCUCUGUGUUAAAUCAAACAAUUCAUUAGUCGCUUGGUAGCAUGUUAAAUUUAACACAUGGUUUGACCAUGAACACUAUUUAAACCAUUGGUUUGAUAUAGUUUUAAUUAAGUAGCCAUAGUUUUAGGGAUUUAUCUGUAGAAAAAACAUAGUAGCCACAAAUUUAUUGUGGUCUCGCAAAAAAACCCAGAGUAGAUAAACUAUGGAUAUUCACACUGAAAAAAUUAGGUUACUAUGUUUUUACCAUAAUAAAAUCGUGGUAUAUUACCAAAGGGUCACUCCCUCCUUCUUUAAAAACUAAGAGAGAUGUUAAGAAAACUAAAGAAAUAUAGAGAUAUAAAUAGUUUUUAAAAGACACACAAUGAGGCCGGAACACAACCCAAAUCAUCAAAUCCACUUUAUUAAAUCCACUUUAAUAUUAAAACACUUCAAUGUUUGAUUUUAAAGAUGCUUUUGCAUCUUACAUGUCGGGUCUCAUUUGAUGUCCAGUGUAUGUGUCCAGUAUGUGUGUCAUGCAAAAUGUAUGUGCGUUAGUGUUUGGAUUGUGUGUUCAGGUUGGUCUCCAGCGGUGCAACCCGGACCCUCCCUUGACGGUGAGGGGUGUCUAAAAUCAAUUCAGUGUUAAGUGCAGGUCUGAGCAGGGGACAGAUUCAGGCCCCACACUGUUAUUCAUGCACCACUGACGCAGAUACUACAACCACACACACACACAAAUACAACUGGACAAUCUGUGUGAUCACGACCCGACAAAAUACACCUGACCUCAGAUCUGACUAAAUCAGAGAGCCUUAAUUUAAUCAUCAAGAAUAAAUCAUCAAGAUCAUGCAGUUUGAUCUCCUUCUGUAUGAUUCAACACGUUCUUGGAUUUAUUGUAAAUAAUUUGCUCGUUAAAAUAUGUUCAUUAGUAAUUUGUAUUUACGUUACUUCCUAAAACCAUUUUCAUGUCAGUUAAUGCUGAUGUAGUGAAGGUUUUGACAGGGGUUUGUUGUUUUAUAAAAGAAAGGUCCCCUUCAGAAAAUGGUGAACUUGACCUUUGGCCUUCAUGUCCCUAUCAAAAACUCUUCUCAUAAGCAUGUGCUGGUGUUUCGAGAUGACAGGAAAUGUCCCACAAUACAUCACAAAGCAUUGUAUUAAGCUCUUCCUUCAUUCUGGUGCAAAAGGCCAUUUUUCUCUGAAAAAUUCUGUCAUCGACCGCCUUGUGUCUUGUCAAAACUUUCGUUUCGUCUGCAGAACAUAAGAUACAUAUUUUAAAGAGCGUUGAUAACCGAACAACAUUGAACCCCAUUAACUUCCGUUGUAUGAAAACAAAACCGCUGAGAUAUUUCUAAAAAUAUCUUCUUUUGUGUUUGAAUAGACAAAGAAAGAUAACUCCGUCACACGUGCCAUUUCAUGUUGACUCAGUUGAAAUCAUAUGAAUAAGCCUAAUGAUAAUGUGCAUAUAGUGAAUUUGAUACCAAUUUUUUUUUAAACUGUGUUUUAAUUUUUUCCCUAGAAUCCUCCGAUGCUUGGAUCUUAUCCGCACGGCUUCAAACAGCCCCAGUGCAUGUCAGAGUAGUCUUGAGUGAAUGUUUGGAAAUCCCUUCAGGUGUCUGAUAGCUCAGGAUGAGAGCGUCAUGUCUCUGUCUGCUCGUUCACAUGCAGAGCGGAGCUAAACCAACCAUCAGACAUCCUCCAGGACGAUUCAUGAGGAAUUCCCUCACAUAACACCAAGACACAGGGAUCAGACUUUCCUUUAGAGGUGAAAAAAUCAAAAGCAAAACACGUCUGACACUGUAUGUCAGGAGGUUGCAUCAUGUAUUAUUUUCAAUCUGACCAAUGUUUUAGAAAACCUUUUUGGGAAAGGCAUGAAUUAUUAAAUCAGGAUGUAAAACUAUAUAAAAGAGUAAUUUGUCUGCUUUGAUGAAGUUGAGGAAGUGAUCACUGUGAUACCAGCUUGCGUCAGCCAUUUUCAAUUUUGUCAUCAAUUUGGAGAAAUGGUCAAACGUGACAUACCGAAUGAUAAACAUGACUUUUACAGAUCUAUCAGAGGUCUAAAUGUAAUGAUUAUUUAGUUAUUUGAUUAAAUGAAUGGUGUUUACCACCCUGAGACUAUUUCUAACUGAUUUUUGGGUUCUUAUUUACAGCUUAAUUUCAAGAGAUAUGCAGAUAAAUUAAGUAUAAACUUCACGUUUUUGUCCCAUGCACUUGCCAUCACCAAAUUUUAAAACUGAAUAUAUUUACAUGAGCAGCUCACUUUUAAUCUGAUCUGAGAUCUGUGUGUUUCUUCAGUCAGGGCUUGUUCCGUUGUGACAGAUCAGUUCUAGUUCCUUUGAGAAGGCCUGACAUCAACAGUAAUAUAUCUGAAACUGCUCGUGAACGCGCCGCUUCUCUGCCAUCAACAGCCGCCCGCCGCGCGCGUCCGCGCUCUCCAAGACGCAGAUGCUCGUCACCGGCAGGAGUUCGUACACGCUGCGCGGGGCGGGUCGCGGUGAUCCGGUCUGGGAUUCGCUGACACGGGUGGUGAAGGAGCACGGAACAUUUUUAGCCCCGCUACCCCCAUCAGUACCCCCGCCCGGGGCAGAUGAUCUCCGCGCCAUCAGGAGCUCAGCAUCAUUAGAAGGUGUUAAUUGGAGUUAGUCGGAGUCUUCGCUUUCUGUCAAGAAGUCUGACAACAGAAUUCAUUAGACUUAAAAAUACCGCGGCAUCGAAAUUAAUUCAAGAGGGAUUGUGAGCUGACAGACAGAGCCAAGCUCCGAAAGGGGCCGAUUCUCAUUACGGAUGCCAAAUCCGUGGCCCAUCUCUCGUGCGUCUUGCUCAGGAAGUUUAUCAUAUUUUAUUUGUAAUUUCACACUCAAAUUGUGCUUCUUCCGAACAAGACAGCAGGAAGGAAAUCAUUUGCCACCUGAUUAAGAAAAUUUCACGUGUCAACAUUUUGGUCUUCGCUUUUAAAAUGGAGCGUGUCAUAAUGAUCCCCUAACUGUAUUCAUCUACAUAAAGAAGCUGAUAUUAAAAUAGAUUUUGUGAUCCAGUUUAACGUCCUUUUACAGCCCGAUUUUCUUUCAGUAUCCCAGAUGCAUAGGUUUUAUAAAAUAAUAAAAUAAAAACAAACCAU
This is a long non-coding RNA of Triplophysa dalaica, 6364 nucleotides long. RefSeq lists it as uncharacterized. The record is from RefSeq and is a predicted model, not a curated record. The transcript has 5 exons. NCBI's taxonomy places the organism in Eukaryota, Metazoa, Chordata, Actinopteri, Cypriniformes, Nemacheilidae.